AUUGAACGCUGGCGGCGUGCUUAACACAUGCAAGUCGAACGAGAACGGAAUAUAGCUUGCUAUAUUUGUCAGCUAAGUGGCGCACGGGUGAGUAAUGUAUAGAUAACCUGCCCUUAAGAAAGGAAUAACAGUUGGAAACGACUGCUAAUGCCCUAUAUGCCUUUAAUACAUAAGUAUGCAAGGGAAACGCUUUAGUGCUUAAGGAUGGGUCUGUAUGGUAUCAGCUUGUUGGUGAGGUAAUGGCUCACCAAGGCUAUGACGCCUAACUGGUUUGAGAGGAUGAUCAGUCGCACUGGAACUGAGACACGGUCCAGACUCCUACGGGAGGCAGCAGUGGGGAAUAUUGCACAAUGGACGAAAGUCUGAUGCAGCAACGCCGCGUGGAGGAUGACACAUUUCGGUGCGUAAACUCCUUUUAUAUAGGAAGAUAAUGACGGUACUAUAUGAAUAAGCACCGGCUAACUCCGUGCCAGCCGCCGCAGUAA
This 485-nucleotide ribosomal RNA is filed under the name uncultured bacterium. RNAcentral's name for it is "partial 16S ribosomal RNA". It matches the Rfam family "Bacterial small subunit ribosomal RNA", at positions 30 to 523 of the family's 1533-position model. The record is from RNAcentral.